Molecule: ribosomal RNA, 468 nt
Filed under: uncultured bacterium
Lineage: Bacteria
Description: partial 16S ribosomal RNA
Rfam family: Bacterial small subunit ribosomal RNA
Source: RNAcentral
GACGAACGCUGGCGGCGUGCUUAACACAUGCAAGUCGAACGGAAAGACCCUGCUUUUGUGGGGUGCUCGAGUGGCGAACGGGUGAGUAACACGUGAGUAACAUGCCCUUGACUUUGGGAUAACUUCAGGAAACUGGGGCUAAUACCGGAUAGGAGAUCCUGCUGCAUGGUGGGGGUUGGAAAGUUUCGGCGGUUGGGGAUGGACUCGCGGCUUAUCAGCUUGUUGGUGGGGUAGUGGCUUACCAAGGCUUUGACGGGUAGCCGGCCUGAGAGGGUGACCGGCCACAUUGGGACUGAGAUACGGCCCAGUCGCCUACGGGAGGCAGCAGUGGGGAGUAUUGCACAAUGGGCGGAAGCCUGAUGCAGCAACGCCGCGUUCGGAAUAACGGCCUUCGGGUUGUAAACCGCUUUCGCCUGUGACGAAGCGUGAGUGACGGUAAUGGGUAAAGAAGCACCGGCUAACUACGUG